This 1320-nucleotide long non-coding RNA is filed under the name Felis catus (domestic cat). Its description in RNAcentral is "lncRNA (ENSFCAG00000053261.1)". The record is from RNAcentral. Lineage: Eukaryota; Metazoa; Chordata; Mammalia; Carnivora; Felidae.
GUGGCUCAGUCGGUUAAGUGUCUGACGUAUGUCAUGAUUUCACGGUUCUUGGGUUCGGGCCCCACAUCUGGCUCUGUGCUGAGAUGGAGAGCCUGCUUGGGAUUCAUUCUCUCUCUCUCUCUCUCUCUCUCUCUCUCUCCUCUCUCUCUCCCUCCUCGGCUCUAGCUCAAAAUAAAUUUUAAAAACUUUAAAGAAAAAAAAGGAAGGAAAUUCUGAUACCUGCUCUAAUACAGAUGAACCUUGAAGACAUUAUGCUGAGUGAAAUCAGCCAGUCACCGAGACACAAACACUGCCUGAUUCGACUUACAUGAGGUACUUAGAGAAGUUAAAUUCAUACAGUCAGAAAAUAAAAUAUUGGAGGCCAGGUGCUGAGGGGGGCGGGAAUGGACAGUUAGUGUCUGAUGGGUCUGGAGACGGAUGGGGGUGGCGGUCACAAGUGAAAGUAUUUAAUGUCCCCGCACUGGCCGCCGAAAGAUGGCUAAAAUGGUAAAUUCUCUGUUGUGUGUUCGCAAUUUUGCAAACCAUAGAUCAGAUCCUGUCAAUCGAUUAUCCUUCCUCUAAGAAUAAAAUGUACAAUUGAUUUGAUUUUUUUAACUCCAUUUUGUUUCUUUUCAUUUUUUUUUAAUGUGUAUUUAUUUUUGAGAGAGAGAGACAGAGCAUGAGCAUGAGCAGAGGAGGGGCGGAGAGAGAGGGAGACACAAAAUCUUUGCUAUGUCAAUGGAAUCUUGGAUCACGUCUCCUUUCUGUGGCUUCUUUGGCUUGGCCGCGUGUAAGAGAUGCUUCCAAGAUGGUGAGCCAUCUGGAGGCUAUUCCAGUGCCGCGCGGGGUGAAUGAACCGGAUGAAUGUGACACGGUGGGAUUUUGUGUUGUUUUUAGGAUCCAAGGGUUUAUUGCCACGAAUGCAAAACAUGCCGACAAUGAAUUGCGUUCACAAAAGAUCAAGUUGCUUUUCCAGGUUCAUGGAGCACCGUGAACCCUCUGAAAAUAUUCGGGGAGCAGUUGCAGCUUUGGGGGCAGCGGCAGUGUGUGCAUAACACAUUUGGGGACACAGUGGAGCUGGCAAAGGCAUGGAUCCCGGAUCUGGACCGCCUGGGUUCAACUCCCAGCUCUCCGACUAACCGGCUGUGCCACCUGAGAAUAGUUACUUAACCUCUCUGGGCCUCAGUCUCCCCGUUUAUCCACGGGGGUCAAAACAGCACCUGUCUCACUGAGCUGCUGUGAGACUAAAUGAGUUGAUGCGUGUCAAGCAUGGUUGGGACAGUGCCUGGCAUGUCGUAAGUGCUCAAUAAACGUUAGGUGUUGUUUUAUUCGUUUUAAUUG